CUCUGAAAUGCCAAGGCCUGGAGGAGGUUGGGGAUGUUUGCUGCUCCAGCCCCUGCCUCAGGCAUUUGGGGCUCGGAGCUGCUCCCUCGCUGGGGCUUGAGGCCAAUGUUUGCCAGGUGCUGGGAGAACAAAAGUUACCUCAGAAAUCCAGUUCUGCAGUAUUGAAGGAAUUGUUUUACAAGGCUGGGGAUAUACCAUGGCUGUCUCAGCACAGCCCUGGCAGGAGCUGGUAUUUCUAGCCAAGAAGUCGAGCUGAAGGCUCAGGGGGAGAGUGCCUGCCAUGGCAACCGGUACCAGUGAGGGGAAUGAGGACACAACAAAGUCCCCCCUGCCUCCAAAGCAUUGAAAUGUGCCCAGAUAAGUGACAAAAAGCAGCUCUUGGAAUUGUGCACCUCUUUUGAUGCCACAGCUACACCCAGCCUGCAGCAGGGGUGGUUCCCAGUACCUUGGCUAUAGUCCCUGCCUUCUUCAGAGUGUGUCAAGGUGGAUUUUUAUGUGUGUGAGCUCCUCAGAUUGUGCCACGCUGUUGAAAACAUUUGGAAAUGGAGCUGUAAUGCACGAGCUGUGCAGCUGUUCUAACAAAGUCUCCUGGACUUUGCCCAUCUUGAAAAGUUUUUAUUCAAGAAAACAGCGGUGCUAAUGGGGAUUAAAAAUCUAAAGGCAGGAGAAUUUGUCUAAGUAAUGGCUAAGCUGGAAGGAAGAGCCAAAAUUUGCAAGGAAACAUUUUGCUUGGCUCCAGCAGCAUGUAAUGGCAUCAUGUGGGGAUGUGGCACCUGGAAUCCUGUCCUAGAGAAAAAUACAGGACAGCAGCUCUCCCAGCCAGGCCUGCAGAAUUCCUGGGAUACUGGAAGGCACAGCAAAGCCCCCAGAGUGUGGGAGAACUGCUGCCCAAUCCCAGAUUUGAGUUCUGAAAGUGGCUUCACCUCCAAAACAUCCCCCUACUCAGGAGCUGAUCCAAGGAUUUUGGUUUGGUACUGGAUGAAAAGGAAAAUACAGCACAGAGUGUUUACUCUGCCUCCAUACAGCAUUGCUUUGUAGGGUGAAAGUGAGGGCGAGACCACAGUGAAGAAUUCCCUCAUUGUCAAUUUUAAAGGCUUCAUAAUAAAUGGUAGGCUUUUUUGGAUGGGAAUCA
This 1132-nucleotide long non-coding RNA is filed under the name Parus major (Great Tit). RNAcentral describes it as "lncRNA (ENSPMJG00000009981.1)". The record is from RNAcentral. Lineage: Eukaryota; Metazoa; Chordata; Aves; Passeriformes; Paridae.